This 71-nucleotide transfer RNA is filed under the name Camelus ferus (Wild Bactrian camel). It matches the Rfam family "tRNA". From Rfam's summary of the family: Transfer RNA (tRNA) molecules are approximately 80 nucleotides in length. Their secondary structure includes four short double-helical elements and three loops (D, anti-codon, and T loops). Lineage: Eukaryota; Metazoa; Chordata; Mammalia; Artiodactyla; Camelidae. The record is from Rfam by way of RNAcentral.
GUAGGUAUAACUCAGUGGUAAGUGUGUGCUUAGCACGCAUGAGGUCCUGGGUUCAAUACCCAGUACCACCA